GGGUCAGUAGGUUGGUCGUGCCACCGGUACGUACUGGUCUCACUGAUUCCUCCUUCCUGAAGAACCGUAAUGCCGUUAAUUUGGUGUUGCGGGGAAACAGGACUGUUACUUUGAAAAAAUUAGAGUGCUUAAAGCAAGCUAACGCUUGAAUACAUUAGCAUGGAAUAAUGAAAUAGGACGAUCGAUCCUAUUUUGUUGGUUUCUAGGAUUGACGUA
RNAcentral lists this ribosomal RNA (216 nucleotides) under Glomeromycotina sp. RNAcentral describes it as "partial small subunit ribosomal RNA". The stretch from base 40 to 216 matches the Rfam family "Eukaryotic small subunit ribosomal RNA", at positions 686 to 864 of the family's 1831-position model. Lineage: Eukaryota; Fungi; Glomeromycota. The record is from RNAcentral.